RNAcentral lists this ribosomal RNA (366 nucleotides) under uncultured organism. RNAcentral describes it as "bacterial SSU rRNA". It matches the Rfam family "Bacterial small subunit ribosomal RNA", at positions 526 to 896 of the family's 1533-position model. The record is from RNAcentral.
CGGAGGAUCCAAGCGUUAUCCGGAAUCAUUGGGUUUAAAGGGUCCGUAGGCGGUUUGGUAAGUCAGUGGUGAAAGCCCAUCGCUCAACGGUGGAACGGCCAUUGAUACUGCCAGACUUGAAUUAUUAGGAAGUAACUAGAAUAUGUAGUGUAGCGGUGAAAUGCUUAGAGAUUACAUGGAAUACCAAUUGCGAAGGCAGGUUACUACUAAUGGAUUGACGCUGAUGGACGAAAGCGUGGGUAGCGAACAGGAUUAGAUACCCUGGUAGUCCACGCCGUAAACGAUGGAUACUAGCUGUUGGGAGCGAUCUCAGUGGCUAAGCGAAAGUGAUAAGUAUCCCACCUGGGGAGUACGUUCGCAAGAAUG